AGAGUUUGAUCCUGGCUCAGGACGAACGCUGGCGGCGUGCUUAAUACAUGCAAGUCGAACGAGGUCCAUUCAGUGGCAACACUGAUGAAGACCUAGUGGCGAACGGGUGCGUAACACGUGAGCAACCUGCCCCGGAGACCGGGAUAACAGCGGGAAACUGCUGCUAAUACCGGAUGCCCCCAUGAACCCGCAUGAGUUCA
Molecule: ribosomal RNA, 200 nt
Filed under: uncultured bacterium
Lineage: Bacteria
Description: partial 16S ribosomal RNA
Rfam family: Bacterial small subunit ribosomal RNA
Source: RNAcentral